UGAGUAAUGCUUGGGAAUCUGGCUUAUGGAGGGGGAUAACUACGGGAAACUGUAGCUAAUACCGCGUAAUAUCGAAAGAUUAAAGUGUGGGACCUUCGGGCCACAUGCCAUAGGAUGAGCCCAAGUGGGAUUAGGUAGUUGGUGAGGUAAAGGCUCACCAAGCCGACGAUCUCUAGCUGGUCUGAGAGGAUGACCAGCCACACUGGGACUGAGACACGGCCCAG
Molecule: ribosomal RNA, 224 nt
Filed under: uncultured bacterium
Lineage: Bacteria
Description: partial 16S ribosomal RNA
Rfam family: Bacterial small subunit ribosomal RNA
Source: RNAcentral